AAAGGAAUUGACGGGGACCCGCACAAGCGGUGGAUCAUGUUCUUUAAUUCGAUGGUAAACGAUAAACCUUACCAGGGCUUGACAUCUAGGGAAGGCCUACGAAAGUAGACUGUGCUUUUAGAACCCUAAGACAGGUGAUGCAUGGCCGUCGUCAGCUCGUGUCGUGAGAUGUUAGGUUAAGUCCUUCAACGAGCGCAACCCUUGUGAACAGUUGUAUUUUUCUGUUCAAACUGCUUCGGUAACGGAGAGGAAGGAGGGGACGAUGUCAGGUCAGUAUUUCCCUUACGUCCUGGGCUAGAAACGUGAUACAAUGGCAAGCACAAUGCGAAGCAAAGCCGCGAGGUGAAGCAAAUCGCAUCAAAACUUGUCCCAGUUCGGAUUGGAGGCUGAAACUCGCCUCCAUGAAGUCGGAAUCGCUAGUAAUCGCAGAUCAGCAUGUUGCGGUGAAUACGUUCCCGGGUCUUGUACACACCGCCCGU
This 479-nucleotide ribosomal RNA is filed under the name uncultured bacterium. Its description in RNAcentral is "bacterial SSU rRNA". It matches the Rfam family "Bacterial small subunit ribosomal RNA", at positions 903 to 1397 of the family's 1533-position model. The record is from RNAcentral.